This 70-nucleotide transfer RNA is filed under the name Perca fluviatilis (European perch). It matches the Rfam family "tRNA". Rfam says of the family: Transfer RNA (tRNA) molecules are approximately 80 nucleotides in length. Their secondary structure includes four short double-helical elements and three loops (D, anti-codon, and T loops). The record is from Rfam by way of RNAcentral. Lineage: Eukaryota; Metazoa; Chordata; Actinopteri; Perciformes; Percidae.
GCAUUGGUGGUUCAGUGGUAGAAUUCUCGCCUGCCACGCGUGAGGCCCGGAUUCGAUUCCGGCCAAUGCA